UGAGGUAGAAUGUUGGAUGACUAAGGUAAAGGUAACAUAUCAGAGCUGUUCAAUUUUCUGCCUUUAA
This 67-nucleotide microRNA precursor is filed under the name Schmidtea mediterranea. RNAcentral's name for it is "Sme-Let-7-P19b_pre stem-loop". Lineage: Eukaryota; Metazoa; Platyhelminthes; Tricladida; Dugesiidae. The record is from RNAcentral.